Long non-coding RNA from Mustela putorius furo (domestic ferret), 1860 nucleotides. Lineage: Eukaryota; Metazoa; Chordata; Mammalia; Carnivora; Mustelidae. The record is from Ensembl.
AUGCCAACAGAGGUAGCUGUGUCUCGCCCAGGGGCCCGGCCCACUCUGAAUACCCCCAAAAAGGAGAAAAGAAAACACAAAGUAAACCAACAAAAUAAAACCAAAAGGAAGAAGAAAUUCAGAUCAUUUUCUUCAAGCCUGGCGGGAACCCACAACAGUUUGUGUGUAACAGUUUGUGUGUUACAGUGGGGAGAAGCCAGGGCCCAGAAGGCGGCCAGCCCGCCAGCUCCCUGCAGAUGGCGCCGGCGCUACUGCUGCUUGUCUCUCCAGCAGGAAGGGCACCGGUGCCCCUCGAUCCCUCCCCUUCCCCAGUGCGCUGGGGGCUGUUCCUUUACAACAUGGAAGAUGGGGCAGAAGGAAGGAGAGGGUCUCUCAGGCCCCAGGGGAGAAGCUGGGCAAGGGAAAAUGAGGAAGGGCACUGCCAAGGCCACUGGAGAGAGCAGCCCACGGCAGCCACAGUGCUCAGGCAAACCCUGGCGGACAAAAGAUAUGGCCAGGAGGUAGAUGAGCCAGAGGAUAGGACACGGUCUCAGAAUCCCACCCUCCUUAAUGCCCUAAUGCCACAGAAGCUACUCUUCCAUCUUAACCCCCAAAUUCCAUCUUUUGUGUGUGGUGGUGGGGGGGAAUGGGUAAAAUAUACACAACUUAAAAUUUACGGUUUUAACCAUCUUUAAGUAUAUAAUUCAGUCACAUUAAGUACACUCCCAAUGUUGUGACCAUCACUACUAUUUCCAGAACUUUUUCAUCAUCCCAAACAACUCUAUACGUGCCAAACACUAACUGCCCAUUCCCUCCCUGCACUCCCUCCAGCUCCUGGAAAACUCUAUUCUACUUUUUGUCUCCAGGAAUUUGCCUAUUCUAUUUGAAUUAGUGUUUUUAUUUUCUUUGGGUAAAUACCCAGUAGAGCAAUUACUGGAUCAUAUGGUAAUUUUAUUUUUAAUUACUUGAGGAAACUCCAUACUGUUUCCCAUAGUGGCAGCACCAAUUUACAUUCCCACCAAUGGUCCACAAGCCUUCCCUGUUCUCCAUGUUCUCACCAGUCUUUGUUAUUUGUCUUUUCUUUUAGAGGAGGAGAGGGGCAAAGUGAGAGGGAGAGAGAGAACCUUAAGCAAACUCCACACCCAGCGUGGAUCCCAACACGGGGCUCCAUACCACAACCCAGAGAUCAUGACUUGAGCCGAAAUCAAGAGUCAGAGGCUCAACAGACUGAGGCACCCAGGUGCCCCUAUCAUCCUGGUUUUGAUUUGCAUUUCCCUGAUGAUGAGUGACGUUGAGCAUCUUUGUCUGCUAGGCUAUCUGUAUGUCUUCUUUGGAGAAAUGUCUAUUCAGGUCCUCUGCCCAUUUUUUAAAUUAGAUUACUUGUUUUUUUUUUUUUACUUGUAUUUUUUUUUUUUAAGAUUUUAUUUGACAGAGAGAGAGAGAGAUCACAAGCUAGCAAAGAGGCAGGCAGAGAGAGAGGGGGAAGUAGGCUCCCCACCAAGCAGAGAGCCUGAUGUGGGACUCGAUCCCAGGACUCUGAGAUCAUGACCCGAGCCGAAGGCAGAGACUUAACCCCCUGAGCCACCCAGGCGCCCCAGAUUACUUGUAUUUUUUUGGUGUUGAGCUGUGCAAGUUGAAUUUGCCUAUCCCAGACACCUCAUCUGAGUGGAACCAUAUAAUAUCUGUCCUUUUGUGUCUGGCUUCUUUCACUUAACAUAAAAUUGUCAAGGUCCAUCCAUGUUUUAGUAUGUAUCAGAAUUGUAAUCUUUUUUAAUAGCUGAAUUAUAUAUAUAUAUACACACACACACAUAUAUAUAUUUUUUAAAUAUUUUGACAGAAAGAUAGACGAGAGAGAAUAUACAAGCAGAGGGAGUGGGAGAG